CUUCUUCCUGUGCUGCUACUGGCCAUCAUUUUCUCCCUUCAUCUCAGCACAAUUCAGGGUCUCUCUUUCCAGGUCAUCUUUCCCACCGACCAGAACGAACGUUCUCAAGCAUCACUUUUUCCAGCGCUCUUUACUGCCAGAGGGAGAGUCUCAAGCAAGCAUCACAAUUAUAGGAGGCAGGGCUCACCUUACCACCAAGCUCCAAGCUCCACUUAUGCUGAGAAAAACCAUACAUGCUGAGCUCCGGUCAGACUUGAUGGCAAAGAACAUGUCUCUCAUUACCACCUCCAUUUCUGGUGAUUGC
Molecule: long non-coding RNA, 304 nt
Organism: Panthera uncia (snow leopard)
Lineage: Eukaryota; Metazoa; Chordata; Mammalia; Carnivora; Felidae
Exons: 3
Source: RefSeq, a predicted model, not a curated record